RNAcentral lists this ribosomal RNA (446 nucleotides) under uncultured bacterium. Its description in RNAcentral is "partial 16S ribosomal RNA". It matches the Rfam family "Bacterial small subunit ribosomal RNA", at positions 354 to 796 of the family's 1533-position model. The record is from RNAcentral.
GUAGGGAAUAUUGGACAAUGGGGGGAACCCUGAUCCAGCCAUGCCGCGUGGAGGAAGACUGCCCUCUGGGUUGUAAACUCCUUUUAUAUGGGAAGAACCGUCCUCAUUAAUGAGUGACCUGACGGUACCAUAGGAAUAAGCACCGGCUAACUCCGUGCCAGCAGCCGCGGUAAUACGGAGGGUGCAAGCGUUAUCCGGAUUCACUGGGUUUAAAGGGUGCGUAGGCGGAUAAAUAAGUCAGUGGUGAAAUCAACGGGCUCAACCUGUUAACUGCCAUUGAUACUGUGUAUCUUGAAUAUGAGAGAGGUAGGCGGAAUGUUGCAUGUAGCGGUGAAAUGCUUAGAUAUGCUACGGAACACCGAUUGCGAAGGCAGCUUACUGGGAUGCAACUGACACUGAUGCACGAAAGCGUGGGUAUCAAACAGGAUUAGAAACCCCUGUAGUCC